UACAGAGGUCCCAAGCGUUGUUCGGAUUCACUGGGCGUAAAGGGUGCGUAGGCGGUCACUUAAGUCUGACGUGAAAUCUCCGGGCCUAACCCGGAAACUGCGUUGGAAACUAUCUGACUAGAGGAAUGGAGGGGAGACUGGAAUACUUGGUGUAGCAGUGAAAUGCGUAGAUAUCAAGUGGAACACCAGUGGCGAAGGCGAGUCUCUGGACAUUUCCUGACGCUGAGGCACGAAAGCCAGGGGAGCAAACGGG
RNAcentral lists this ribosomal RNA (253 nucleotides) under uncultured bacterium. Its description in RNAcentral is "partial 16S ribosomal RNA". It matches the Rfam family "Bacterial small subunit ribosomal RNA", at positions 524 to 776 of the family's 1533-position model. The record is from RNAcentral.